This is a non-coding RNA of Podarcis lilfordi (Lilford's wall lizard), 316 nucleotides long. NCBI's taxonomy places the organism in Eukaryota, Metazoa, Chordata, Lepidosauria, Squamata, Lacertidae. The record is from the annotation of a GenBank genome assembly.
CAGAACUUGUGAAAAAUAAAAUGUGUUUGGGUUUAAGCAUGGAAAGAGAGAGGGGGAGAUCCAGAGAGAUGUUACAACAACUUGCUUCCAAUAUUGACUUUUUUAAAAAAACACCCCUAACUCUCUCAUACAAAGAAGGGCAAAUCAGAACUCUUUUUUAAUGCUAAAAGUUGCACUCUUUCUUUCUGGCUGUUGGACAUGCCAAUAUGUAAACAUUUCAGGGAGAAUUUUACACCACCUCAUCUUUAUGUCAAGCAGCAUUUAAUGGUUGAAUGAUCCCGUGCCCCGGGUCUUGGCAGCUAUCCUCUGGGGUCCA